AUAGCGUAUAUUAAAGUUGUUGCAGUUAAAAAGCUCGUAGUUGAACUUCAGGCCUUGGCCGGCGGUCCGCCUCACGGUGUGUACUGUCGGCCGGGGCCUUCCCUCUUGGUGAACCCUCAUGCCCUUUACUGGGUGUGGGGGGGAACCAGGACUUUUACUUUGAAAAAAUUAGAGUGUUCAAAGCAGGCCUAUGCCCGAAUACAUUAGCAUGGAAUAAUAAAAUAGGACGUGCGGUUCUAUUUUGUUGGUUUCUAGGAUCGCCGUAAUGAUUAAUAGGGAUAGUUGGGGGCAUUAGUAUUCAGUUGCUAGAGGUGAAAUUCUUGGAUUUACUGAAGACUAACUACUG
This 346-nucleotide ribosomal RNA is filed under the name uncultured eukaryote. RNAcentral describes it as "partial 18S ribosomal RNA". It matches the Rfam family "Eukaryotic small subunit ribosomal RNA", at positions 594 to 945 of the family's 1831-position model. The record is from RNAcentral.